RNAcentral lists this transfer RNA (28 nucleotides) under Ecphymacris lofaoshana. RNAcentral's name for it is "partial tRNA-Tyr". Lineage: Eukaryota; Metazoa; Arthropoda; Insecta; Orthoptera; Acrididae. The record is from RNAcentral.
CUAUUUAUGAGAAAUUUCUCUCUUACCA